GCCCUCGUAGCUCAGGGGAUAGAGCACCGGCCUCCGGAGCCGGGUGCGCAGGUUCGAAUCCUGCCGGGGGCACCA
RNAcentral lists this transfer RNA (75 nucleotides) under Acidimicrobiaceae bacterium. RNAcentral describes it as "tRNA-Arg". It matches the Rfam family "tRNA". From Rfam's summary of the family: Transfer RNA (tRNA) molecules are approximately 80 nucleotides in length. Their secondary structure includes four short double-helical elements and three loops (D, anti-codon, and T loops). RNAcentral also lists the same sequence under 5 other names. Lineage: Bacteria; Bacillati; Actinomycetota; Acidimicrobiia; Acidimicrobiales; Acidimicrobiaceae. The record is from RNAcentral.